CAUUUUCUAAUUUACACAGAGUAAUUUAAGAUCUUUGCACUUUGCAUGCUUCUUGGACAAUAUGCUUGCAUUUUUCUGUUUUUAGCAAAUUUGGAUGCUUUUAAAGGACAUUUGCCUGCUGUAAAGAGGAUCAUUUCUGCCUGAAUGAGGAGAGUUGUUUUCUCUAUUCAAGUAUUAGAAACUGCUGGAACAUUUCUAGUUUGAAACAUGUACAUUUGAAUGUGUGUAAUUUUGAGGAUGACUUAGGUAAAUUUUGAGCAUUGGACAAUUGCAAUUGUACUUGUGUGUUUUCUACAUACAGUUUUGCAACAGUAGUGCAAAAUUCAAAUUAUUCGAUAAAUUUAUUGUCUUUUUUUGUACAUUAUUGGACAACAUGUGCAGAGAGGCUUAUUAGUGUUAUAAGUAACUCUAUUUCAUAUUUUUCAGGUGUACUUGGAGUUUAACAGGGUUGUUGGUAGAAAUCUUAAAGAAGAGUUCUUUGGUGUUCUUGAUGGUUUGUGUCCAAGCUUGAUGGAAAUCUACAAGAGGAAGACAGGUUGGAUAGGCAAGCAGUUAACUGACCUGGUACAACAGACAAUGAGCACCAACAGCCAAUAGAUGCCUUGUGCUGAGAGGACUUCCAGUCAUUCUUGGAGAUGAUGCGUCUAUGUUCUUUAAGAGCAGUUCGGAUCUUAAUGAGGGAGACUCUGUGGACAUUCCCAUGGGAAUCCUCUGCUAUGAGGACACCAGUGCUGCAAGCCCAGCAAGCCCAGCACAGAGCAAAAAAUGUAAAAACUAUGCUGUGAUUGUAUUUGGAAGGAAAUCGAUUCCUAAUUCAAUAUACAUGUUCUGUUUGCUGCAUCAUAGAAAGGUACUAUAAGGUAAUAUCUGCAGCAAAAAGUAAGAAUAUACUGUUGGCAAAGACCCACUUUAAUAAUUUUAUGAAAACAAGGUCUUGCUGUUAUUUUGGAUUUGCAUCUGGUAUUUAACACAGCAUCA
Molecule: long non-coding RNA, 978 nt
Organism: Neoarius graeffei (lesser salmon catfish)
Lineage: Eukaryota; Metazoa; Chordata; Actinopteri; Siluriformes; Ariidae
Exons: 3
Source: RefSeq, a predicted model, not a curated record